GCCCUUACGUCCUGGGCUACACACGUGCUACAAUGGUAUAGACAAUGAGCAGCCACUUCGCGAGAAGGAGCGAAUCUAUAAACUAUAUCUCAGUUCGGAUCGGAGUCUGCAACUCGACUCCGUGAAGUCGGAAUCGCUAGUAAUCGUGAAUCAGAAUGUCACGGUGAAUACGUUCCCGGGCCUUGUACACACCGCCCGUCACACCAUGGGAGUGGAUUGCACCAGAAGUGGUUAGUCUAACCUUCGGGAGGACGAUCACCACGGUGUGGUUCAUGACUGGGGUGAAGUCGAAACAAGGUAGCCGUAGGGGAACC
Molecule: ribosomal RNA, 314 nt
Filed under: Conticribra weissflogii
Lineage: Eukaryota; Bacillariophyta; Thalassiosirophyceae; Thalassiosirales; Thalassiosiraceae
Description: partial Bacterial small subunit ribosomal RNA
Rfam family: Bacterial small subunit ribosomal RNA
Source: RNAcentral